AGGCUGCAGAUUUACCAGGAGAGGACUGAAGCCUUGUAAUGCCCUUUGAGAUCUACUAUAAGGAGAGAUGUCAUCAUCCUCCAACUGCUUUGAUGUUACAAGAGAUUACAUUGAGGUAUGAUUAGAAGGGAUGCUGGAAUUAUGCCCACCUCUCCUCCCAGGAUUUUUAAGAGAGAUAUUACCAAGAUUGACCUGGAAAUUCUCAGUAUGAGAAAAAUAAAUGAAGCCUCAGACCCAAAUCUUCUAACAUUUAAAUCAUAGAUCCUCAAGAACUUGAAGCAAUUGGAAAAAAAGUAUGUUCAUAUCAUAAAGAAGAGG
Molecule: non-coding RNA, 318 nt
Organism: Lonchura striata (white-rumped munia)
Lineage: Eukaryota; Metazoa; Chordata; Aves; Passeriformes; Estrildidae
Source: RefSeq, a predicted model, not a curated record